UGGGGAAUAUUGGACAAUGGGCGAAAGCCUGAUCCAGCCAUGCCGCGUGUGUGAAGAAGGUCUUCGGAUUGUAAAGCACUUUAAGUUGGGAGGAAGGGCAGUAAGCGAAUACCUUGCUGUUUUGACGUUACCGACAGAAUAAGCACCGGCUAACUCUGUGCCAGCAGCCGCGGUAAUACAGAGGGUGCAAGCGUUAAUCGGAAUUACGUGGCGUAAAGCGCGCGUAGGUGGUUCGUUAAGUUGAAUGUGAAAGCCCCGGGCUCAACCUGGGAACUGCAUCCAAAACUGGCGAGCUAGAGUAGGGCAGAGGGUGGUGGAAUUUCCUGUGUAGCGGUGAAAUGCGUAGAUAUAGGAAAGAACACCAGUGGCGAAGGCGACCACCUGGGCUCAUACUGACACUGAGGUGCGAAAGCGUGGGGAGCAAACAGG
Molecule: ribosomal RNA, 429 nt
Filed under: Pseudomonadota bacterium
Lineage: Bacteria; Pseudomonadati; Pseudomonadota
Description: Proteobacteria bacterium partial 16S ribosomal RNA
Rfam family: Bacterial small subunit ribosomal RNA
Source: RNAcentral